Molecule: ribosomal RNA, 373 nt
Filed under: uncultured bacterium
Lineage: Bacteria
Description: bacterial SSU rRNA
Rfam family: Bacterial small subunit ribosomal RNA
Source: RNAcentral
UAAUACGGAGGGUGCAAGCGUUAUCCGGAUUCACUGGGUUUAAAGGGUGCGUAGGUGGGCAGGUAAGUCAGCGGUGAAAUCCCCGAGCUUAACUUGGGAACUGCCAUUGAUACUAUCUGUCUUGAAUACCUUGGAGGUGAGCGGAAUAUGUCAUGUAGCGGUGAAAUGCUUAGAUAUGACAUAGAACACCAAUUGCGAAGGCAGCUCACUACACGGUCAUUGACACUGAGGCACGAAAGCGUGGGGAUCAAACAGGAUUAGAUACCCUGGUAGUCCACGCCCUAAACGAUGGAUACUCGACAUCAGCGAUACACUGUUGGUGUCUGAGCGAAAGCAUUAAGUAUCCCACCUGGGAAGUACGACCGCAAGGUUG